GUGUCAGCAGCCGCGGUAAUACAGAGACUGCAAGCGUUAUUCGGAUUCACUGGGCGUAAAGGGUGCGCAGGCGGCCAGGUGUGUCAGGUGUGAAAGCCCGGAGCUUAACUCCGGAAUUGCGCCUGAAACUACUUGGCUAGAGCAUUGGAGAGGGUAGCGGAAUUCACGGUGUAGCAGUGAAAUGCGUAGAUAUCGUGAGGAACACCAGAGGCGAAGGCGGCUACCUGGACAAUUGCUGACGCUCAGGCACGAAAGCGUGGGGAGCAAAAGGGAUUAGAUACCCCAGUAGUCC
This 292-nucleotide ribosomal RNA is filed under the name uncultured bacterium. RNAcentral describes it as "partial 16S ribosomal RNA". It matches the Rfam family "Bacterial small subunit ribosomal RNA", at positions 505 to 796 of the family's 1533-position model. The record is from RNAcentral.